GUUAAGGUGGCAGAGCCCGGUAAUUGCAAAAGACCUAAGCCCUUUCAACAGAGGUUCAAGCCCUCUCCUCAACU
RNAcentral lists this transfer RNA (74 nucleotides) under Cottus perplexus (reticulate sculpin). Its description in RNAcentral is "tRNA-Leu". It matches the Rfam family "tRNA". Rfam says of the family: Transfer RNA (tRNA) molecules are approximately 80 nucleotides in length. Their secondary structure includes four short double-helical elements and three loops (D, anti-codon, and T loops). Further hydrogen bonds mediate the characteristic L-shaped molecular structure. tRNAs have two regions of fundamental functional importance: the anti-codon, which is responsible for specific mRNA codon recognition, and the 3' end, to which the tRNAs corresponding amino acid is attached (by aminoacyl-tRNA synthetases). tRNAs cope with the degeneracy of the genetic code in two manners: having more than one tRNA (with a specific anti-codon) for a particular amino acid; and 'wobble' base-pairing, i.e. permitting non-standard base-pairing at the 3rd anti-codon position. RNAcentral also lists the same sequence under 1 other name. Lineage: Eukaryota; Metazoa; Chordata; Actinopteri; Perciformes; Cottidae. The record is from RNAcentral.